Passer domesticus (house sparrow) is the source of this 2535-nucleotide long non-coding RNA. RefSeq lists it as uncharacterized. Lineage: Eukaryota; Metazoa; Chordata; Aves; Passeriformes; Passeridae. The transcript is spliced from 3 exons. The record is from RefSeq and is a predicted model, not a curated record.
UCUCUCCUUACCCGUCCACCAGUGCUCCCUAGUAUGAUCUGCAAUAAUCAGCUUUCCCCAAACUUAACCCUCAGCUGCAUGUUGGCUUUCAGAAUUUCCAAACCUAACCCUCAGCUGGAUGUUAGCUUUCCUAUUUCCAUGUUUUUCCACAGGCAGAUAUCCCCUCUCCUUCAAGGUGUGCUGUUCUACCCUAUUUCACUGCUGGUGCACUUCUACCUCUUGGGAUUCACAUCCACUGGGCAGAAGUAUCCACAGAGACUGAACUUGUGCCUCAGGUGUGCCAGCAUCUGGAAGCAGCCAUGUAUUUGACUGGAGGACAACAAGGAUCCCACAUCCCUUUUUCCAGCACUGAGUCCUGAUGUUUUGUCACAGAGAGCUUUGGCUGCUAGGCUGUUUCCUGGAAUACUCCAUUUCAAAAAAUCAAAGUCAGUCAAAAUAAAGGAUGAAGCCAACUUUUCUUUCUCCCUACAAAAUAAAAAGUUGUCUUUGGGAAGAUUCAAAAUUUCUGUCUUCACAACACAAAAUACCAGUGGAUCAAAACAGGAAGAAGUGGCAUCCAGCAAAGUCAAAUGAGAUCAAAACCAGGACAAAAAAAUGUGGAAAAGAGUCCUAACAGCCAACAGGAAUUGGAUGAUGAAGUCACUCUCACCACCAUCUGCUCCAAAAGAAAAGCAAAGAAACCAAACCAGCCAGAAAUCCUUUGUGUUCACAAAGAAAUUCAUCCUCUCAGUGUAGGGAUUUUGACCCAAUCCUCUCUUCAUUACCAUGAACACCCAACUUCCCAUUUGGUCAAAAACAUCCCCUUGCAAAUCGAAGGCACCGUGUAAAAAUAGUCACAAUGACAAUAACAAUGCUAAUAAUGAGGAUGGAGAUCUUUCUAAACCAUGAACAAAUGUUGAUUUUACUCUAAAAUAAACUCGUGGAGAAUGGGAGCAUUUUUGUAAUCCUUGUGUUCAUUGUUGGCUUCCUUUGUUGAGCUUUCUGGAUGCUAUUUCAGAGAGGGAAGAAUGAGUCACUGUCUUGUCUUGCAAUGAGCCCUGGGGUGGAGUUCCAUGUCAGCUGGCAGAGAAGGAAUUUGGGGGCAGGUGCUUUUCAGGAGACCAUGGCAAACACUCAGCAAGUAACAGUGGAGCCUCUAUUCUGGGAUUAAACACAACAUGAGAAAUGAAGGUGCUUAGGAACAGGACAGACAAGGAGAGCUUUGAUCAUGUGGUGCACCCACAAGACCAAGGCACCCUGAUUACCCUCUUGAGGAUUUGAGAAAGGGAAAGGAAUGGCUCCAUGGCUGCUGAGGUUUGCCAGGAGAGUGUGUUCACUUGGGAAUUUUUAUUCCCUUCACCUUUUUUGAGAAAAUCCAUAUGGCACUGAACAUUUCCUGAAGUGUGUCCAUUUCAGAGCUUGUUUAGUUUUACCUGCCAGGAAGCCAUAAGAGAGUCGAGUGUGUGUCAGCUUUUGGGACCAUCUUCAGCAGAGAAUCAGAUGUGCUUGAGCUUUUGGGAGCACCUUCAGCACCAAACUAUAGUUGCCCAAGGAUGGGUUAAAUGGGCGUUUCCAUUACCUGGAUCAUAGGGAAAAUCCCCUUUGAACAAACAGCUGAACAGUCAAUGCCACAAAUAUUCACGCAGAGUUCAGACUCUAAGGUACCUUUACCCUGAAAUAUUAGCAGACAACAAAGUUUUUGUGAUUUAUAAUUACUGCUUCUUUCUUAAAAAGCUACAGCUUUGAAGACUUUGCAAAGAGCCUCACACACUGAGGAGCUGUUUAUGUCACCUCUUUACUUACAAAAUCAGACAUUCCUUCUUCUUGGAGCAAAGAGCCAAAAAUAGCACACAGCUCCAUGUCCAGAACUGAAUAUGCUGCCAUCUUCUUCAGCUCUGGCCAAAACUCAACUCAGCAACAGGUGACCCUAGUGAUUUUUGACCCUCACAUUUAGGGCAGCAACCCCUACCCCCAGAAUUCCACAGGGCAGCAACCCCAGUCCCAGAAUUCCACAGCUUUUAUAGCCUCUAGCUCAGAGCAGAUCCAACACCUGAGGCAACCCCAGGGCCUCUCACCAUUAAUGACAACACCCAAGGGUGCUCCUGAUUCAUCCCACCUGUGUUUUUUCUUUAGUCACUUAACGCACAAAUGACACUUCUUUCUUCUGAAGUCUGACCAGAAUGAGAAGGAUGUGGAGGUAUUUAGGACUCUGUAUUUUAGAGGCCAGCGAAUAAGGAUCAGCAGAAUGGAAGUGCAGAGUUUCAUGUUCUUCACUUCUCUCCACACCCAAAGCCGUGAGCAUCAAUGUCCCACCCAGGCUCAGGGGUUACAGACUCCAGCAGGGCCAGUUUCUUCCUUUGCUUUUAUGUUUACUAUAAAAGGCUUUAGAAGCCUCAGCACUGAUUCCUAAACACACCCAAACCCCCAGGAACACAGGAUUACUGAGGAGCUCCUUGAACAAAGAAACUUCAUCUGCCUUUUAGAAUGCUGUGUUCCCUUUGCCCAGCUCAAUGCCAAAAUUGCUGCAGGACAUGGCAGCCACAAAACCCUUUAACG